GGACCCAUGGCGCAACGGUAGCGCGUUCGACUCCAGUUACGGGAGCAUCAUCGAAAGGUUAUCCGUUCAAAUCGGGUUGGGUUCA
RNAcentral lists this transfer RNA (85 nucleotides) under Colletotrichum orbiculare MAFF 240422. RNAcentral's name for it is "tRNA-Trp for anticodon CCA". It matches the Rfam family "tRNA". Rfam says of the family: Transfer RNA (tRNA) molecules are approximately 80 nucleotides in length. Their secondary structure includes four short double-helical elements and three loops (D, anti-codon, and T loops). Further hydrogen bonds mediate the characteristic L-shaped molecular structure. tRNAs have two regions of fundamental functional importance: the anti-codon, which is responsible for specific mRNA codon recognition, and the 3' end, to which the tRNAs corresponding amino acid is attached (by aminoacyl-tRNA synthetases). tRNAs cope with the degeneracy of the genetic code in two manners: having more than one tRNA (with a specific anti-codon) for a particular amino acid; and 'wobble' base-pairing, i.e. permitting non-standard base-pairing at the 3rd anti-codon position. The record is from Rfam by way of RNAcentral. Lineage: Eukaryota; Fungi; Ascomycota; Sordariomycetes; Glomerellales; Glomerellaceae.